This 430-nucleotide ribosomal RNA is filed under the name uncultured bacterium. RNAcentral's name for it is "bacterial SSU rRNA". It matches the Rfam family "Bacterial small subunit ribosomal RNA", at positions 354 to 776 of the family's 1533-position model. RNAcentral also lists the same sequence under 1 other name. The record is from RNAcentral.
GUGGGGAAUUUUGGACAAUGGGCGCAAGCCUGAUCCAGCAAUGCCGCGUGCAGGAAGAAGGCCUUCGGGUUGUAAACUGCUUUUGUCAGGGAAGAAAUCUUCUGGGCUAAUACCCCGGGAGGAUGACGGUACCUGAAGAAUAAGCACCGGCUAACUACGUGCCAGCAGCCGCGGUAAUACGUAGGGUGCGAGCGUUAAUCGGAAUUACUGGGCGUAAAGCGUGCGCAGGCGGCUUUGCAAGACAGAUGUGAAAUCCCCGGGCUCAACCUGGGAACUGCAUUUGUGACUGCAAGGCUAGAGUACGGCAGAGGGGGAUGGAAUUCCGCGUGUAGCAGUGAAAUGCGUAGAUAUGCGGAGGAACACCAAUGGCGAAGGCAAUCCCCUGGGCCUGUACUGACGCUCAUGCACGAAAGCGUGGGGAGCAAACAGG